GGCUGGUCUGAAGGUAGUGAGUUAUCUCACUUGACUGUUCAGUCAGUUACAGACUGAACUUGUUCUACUCUUUCCCCUCCUCACUACUACACUUGACUAGAAAA
This 104-nucleotide Y RNA is filed under the name Prolemur simus (greater bamboo lemur). RNAcentral's name for it is "Y RNA (ENSPSMG00000025957.1)". It matches the Rfam family "Y RNA". From Rfam's summary of the family: Y RNAs are components of the Ro ribonucleoprotein particle (Ro RNP), in association with Ro60 and La proteins. The Y RNAs and Ro60 and La proteins are well conserved, but the function of the Ro RNP is not known. The record is from Rfam by way of RNAcentral. Lineage: Eukaryota; Metazoa; Chordata; Mammalia; Primates; Lemuridae.